Long non-coding RNA from Amphimedon queenslandica, 297 nucleotides. RefSeq lists it as uncharacterized. Lineage: Eukaryota; Metazoa; Porifera; Demospongiae; Haplosclerida; Niphatidae. The record is from RefSeq and is a predicted model, not a curated record. The transcript is spliced from 3 exons.
UUUUAUAUUUAUCUUUUAGAGAGGAUGUAUCAAUGUUUAUUCAUCUGAUAACAUUUCAGCCAUUUCUCCUCCUCCUUCCUAUGCUGAUACCAUUGCACAAGAAUGUGGUGAAUGUGUUGCUGUAGUUCAUGGACAAUAUGAAAAACAUCCACCAACAUAUACUGGAGAUGAGCAUAGCAGUAAGACUCCAGUACAAGAUCAAACUAACUCUACUGAUGGUAGCAUUAAUGUUAAUGUAAAAUAAAAUAAUAUUAUUAUUAUUAACACAUUUUAAAUUUUUGAUUUAAUACAUUUGUA